RNAcentral lists this ribosomal RNA (253 nucleotides) under uncultured bacterium. RNAcentral describes it as "partial 16S ribosomal RNA". It matches the Rfam family "Bacterial small subunit ribosomal RNA", at positions 524 to 776 of the family's 1533-position model. The record is from RNAcentral.
GACAGAGGGGGCAAGCGUUGCUCGGAAUUACUGGGCGUAAAGGGCGCGUAGGCGGGAUGGCAAGUCGGUCGUGAAAUCCUUCGGCUCAACCGAAGAACGUCGAUCGAUACUGCUGUUCUUGAGGGUUGCAGAGGAGACUGGAAUUCCCGGUGUAGCGGUGAAAUGUGUAGAGAUCGGGAGGAACACCGGUGGCGAAGGCGGGUCUCUGGGCAACAACUGACGCUGAGGAGCGAAAGCGUGGGGAGCGAACAGG